RNAcentral lists this ribosomal RNA (648 nucleotides) under bacterium HZ35-18. RNAcentral describes it as "bacterial SSU rRNA". It matches the Rfam family "Bacterial small subunit ribosomal RNA", at positions 338 to 974 of the family's 1533-position model. The record is from RNAcentral.
CCUACGGGAGGCAGCAGUAGGGAAUCUUCCGCAAUGGACGAAAGUCUGACGGAGCAACGCCGCGUGAACGAUGAAGGCCUUCGGGUCGUAAAGUUCUGUUGUUAGGGAAGAACAAGUGCUAGUUGAAUAAGCUGGCACCUUGACGGUACCUAACCAGAAAGCCACGGCUAACUACGUGCCAGCAGCCGCAGGGUAAUACGUAGGUGGCAAGCGUUGUCCGGAAUUAUUGGGCGUAAAGCGCGCGCAGGCGGUUUCUUAAGUCUGAUGUGAAAGCCCCCGGCUCAACCGGGGAGGGUCAUUGGAAACUGGGAAACUUGAGUGCAGAAGCAGGAAAGUGGAAUUCCAAGUGUAGCGGUGAAAUGCGUAGAGAUUUGGAGGAACACCAGUGGCGAAGGCGACUUUCUGGUCUGUAACUGACGCUGAGGCGCGAAAGCGUGGGGAGCAAACAGGAUUAGAUACCCUGGUAGUCCACGCUGUAAACGAUGAGUGCUAAGUGUUAGAGGGUUUCCGCCCUUUAGUGCUGAAGUUAACGCAUUAACACUCCGCCUGGGGAGUACGGUCGCAAGAAUGAAACUCAAAGGAAUUGACGGGGGCCCGCACAAGUGGUGGAGCAUGUGGUUUAAUUCGAAGCAACGCGAAGAACCUUAC